UCUGAUGUGAAUUGAUUUAUGUUUGGAUACUCUCACUUAAAAUGAUUUUUAUGGGUUGAUGUUGUUUGGAUAA
RNAcentral lists this microRNA precursor (73 nucleotides) under Medicago truncatula (barrel medic). RNAcentral describes it as "MIR5272 microRNA precursor family". It matches the Rfam family "MIR5272 microRNA precursor family". The record is from Rfam by way of RNAcentral. Lineage: Eukaryota; Viridiplantae; Streptophyta; Magnoliopsida; Fabales; Fabaceae.